GAAGCUUCCAAUACACGUGCUACUUGUCCUGUUAACAGACGACUGUAGAUGUUUCCAAUACACGUGCUACUUGUCCUAGUUAACAGACGACUGUAGAUGUUUCCAAUACACACGUGCUACUUGUCCUGUUAACAGACGACUGUAGAUGUUUCCAAUACACGUGCUACUUGUCCUAGUUAACAGACGACUGUAGAUGUUUCCAAU
Long non-coding RNA from Limulus polyphemus (Atlantic horseshoe crab), 204 nucleotides. RefSeq lists it as uncharacterized. The transcript has 4 exons. The record is from RefSeq and is a predicted model, not a curated record. Lineage: Eukaryota; Metazoa; Arthropoda; Merostomata; Xiphosura; Limulidae.